This 433-nucleotide ribosomal RNA is filed under the name uncultured bacterium. RNAcentral describes it as "partial 16S ribosomal RNA". It matches the Rfam family "Bacterial small subunit ribosomal RNA", at positions 29 to 507 of the family's 1533-position model. The record is from RNAcentral.
AACGAACGCUGGCGGCAUGCCUAACACAUGCAAGUCGAACGAGACCUUCGGGUCUAGUGGCGCACGGGUGCGUAACGCGUGGGAACCUGCCCUUAGGUUCGGAAUAACUCCCCGAAAGGGGUGCUAAUACCGGAUAAUGUCUUCGGACCAAAGAUUUAUCGCCUUUGGAUGGGCCCGCGUUGGAUUAGCUAGUUGGUAGGGUAAAAGCCUACCAAGGCGACGAUCCAUAGCUGGGCUGAGAGGAUGAUCAGCCACACUGGGACUGAGACACGGCCCAGACUCCGACGCGAGGCAGCAGUGGGGAAUACUGGAGCACGGGGGAAAGCGUGAUCCGGCCAGGCCGCGGGAGAAGGGAAGGCGUGAGGGUUGGAAAGCUCUUUUACCCGGGAGGAUAGUGACAGUACCGGGAGAAUAAGCUCCGGCUAACUCCGUG